GACGAACGCUGGCGGCGUGCCUAAUACAUGCAAGUUGAGCGCUGAAGGUUGGUACUUGUACCAACUGGAUGAGCAGCGAACGGGUGAGUAACGCGUGGGGAAUCUGCCUUUGAGCGGGGGACAACAUUUGGAAACGAAUUCUAAUACCGCAUAAAAACUUUAAACACAAGUUGUAAGUUUGAAAUAUGCAAUUGCAUCACUCAAAGAUGAUCCCGCGUUUUAUUAGCUAGUUGGUGAGGUAAAGGCUCACCAAGGCGAUGAUACAUAGCAGACCUGAGAGGGUGAUCGGCCACAUUGGGAGUGAGACACGGCACAAACUCCUACGGGAGCGAGCAGUAGGGAAACUUCGGCAAUGGGGGAAAGUCUGAGCGAGAAACGCAGCGGGAGUGAGGAAGGUUUUCGGAUCGUAAAACUCUGUUUGUAGAGAAGAAAGUUGGUGAGAGUGGAAAGCUCAUCAAGUGACGGUAACUACCCAGAAAGGGACGGCUAACUACGUG
Molecule: ribosomal RNA, 497 nt
Filed under: uncultured bacterium
Lineage: Bacteria
Description: partial 16S ribosomal RNA
Rfam family: Bacterial small subunit ribosomal RNA
Source: RNAcentral